This 511-nucleotide ribosomal RNA is filed under the name uncultured Oscillospiraceae bacterium. RNAcentral's name for it is "partial 16S ribosomal RNA". Lineage: Bacteria; Bacillati; Bacillota; Clostridia; Eubacteriales; Oscillospiraceae. The record is from RNAcentral.
CACGUAGUUAGCCGGAGCUUAUUCUACAGGUACUGUCUUUUUUCUUCCCUGUCUAAAGCAGUUUACAAUCCGAAAACCUUCUUCCUGCACGCGGCGUCACUGCGUCAGAGUUUCCUCCAUUGCGCAAUAUUCCCGGCUGCUGCCUCCCGUAGGAGUCUGGGCCGUAUCUCAGUCCCAAUGUGGCCGUUCAACCUCUCAGUCCGGCUACUGAUCGUCGACUUGGUAGGCCUUUACCCCACCAACUAUCUAAUCAGACGCAAGCCCAUCUAUCAGCGGAUUGCUCCUUUCCCUUUUGUAACAUGUGUUACUAAGGCAUAUGCGGUAUUAGCAGUCAUUUCUAACUUGUUCGUUCCCCUCUGAUAGGCUAGGUUGCUUACGUGUUACUCACCAGUCCGCCACUAAAGCCAUUGUGUAAGUCAAUCUUCAUUCCCUUUGAACUAAGUUCUCUGUUCAUUGUACAACAUCCAUUACAACGUACUUUCCGUUCGACUUGCAUGUCUUUAUGUGCCCG